This is a non-coding RNA of Pelobates cultripes (western spadefoot toad), 93 nucleotides long. NCBI's taxonomy places the organism in Eukaryota, Metazoa, Chordata, Amphibia, Anura, Pelobatidae. The record is from the annotation of a GenBank genome assembly.
UUCAGUACAUGUGUUAAAAAAAUGUUGUUUUUGUUUUUAUAUAUAUAAAUAUAUAAAAACAAAAACAACAUUUUUUUUAACACAUGUACUGAA